This 465-nucleotide ribosomal RNA is filed under the name uncultured Acidobacteriota bacterium. RNAcentral's name for it is "bacterial SSU rRNA". It matches the Rfam family "Bacterial small subunit ribosomal RNA", at positions 156 to 638 of the family's 1533-position model. The record is from RNAcentral. Lineage: Bacteria; Pseudomonadati; Acidobacteriota.
ACCUGGGCUAAUACCGCAUUAAUUACCGAGAGGUCAAAGGAAGCAAUUCGCUUAAGGAGGGGGUCGCGGCCGAUUAUUAUUUGGCGGGGUAAUGGCCCACCAAAACUAUAAUCGGUAUCCGGCCUGAAGAAGGGCGCCACGGAACACACUGGAAACUGAAACACGGUCCAGAACUCCUACGGGAAGGCAGCAGUGGGGAAUUUUGCGCCAAUGGGGGAAACCCUGAACGCAGCAACGCCGCGUUGGAGGGAUGAAGUCCCUUGGGACGUAAACUCCUUUUCGAUCGGGACCGAUUAUGACGGUACCGAGAGAAGAAGCCCCGGCUAACUUCGUGCCAGCAGCCGCGGUAAUACGAGGGGGGCGAGCGUUGUUCGGAAUUAUUGGGCGUAAAGGGUGCGUAGGCGGUUUGGUAAGUCUUGUGUGAAAUCUUCGGGCUCAACUCGAGGUCUGCAUGAGAAACUGCCG